RNAcentral lists this ribosomal RNA (495 nucleotides) under uncultured bacterium. Its description in RNAcentral is "partial 16S ribosomal RNA". It matches the Rfam family "Bacterial small subunit ribosomal RNA", at positions 28 to 507 of the family's 1533-position model. The record is from RNAcentral.
GAUGAACGCUGGCGGCGUGCCUAAUACAUGCAAGUAGAACGCUGAAGGAGGAGCUUGCUCUUCUGGAUGAGUUGCGAACGGGUGAGUAACGCGUAGGUAACCUGCCUGGUAGCGGGGGAUAACUAUUGGAAACGAUAGCUAAUACCGCAUGACAACAGUUAUUGCAUGAUAACUGUUUAAAAGGGGCAACUGCUCCACUACCAGAUGGACCUGCGUUGUAUUAGCUAGUUGGUGAGGUAACGGCUCACCAAGGCGACGAUACAUAGCCGACCUGAGAGGGGGAUCGGCCACACUGGGAGGGAGACACGGCACAGACGCAUACGGGAGGGAGCAGUAGGGAAACGGCGGCAAGGGACGGAAGACAGACCGAGCAACGCCGCGUGAGGGAAGAAGGUUGUCGGAUCGUAAAGCACUGUUGUAAGAGAAGAACGAGUGUGAGAGUGGAAAGUUCACACUGUGACGGUAUCGUACCAGAAAGGGACGGCUAACUACGUG